RNAcentral lists this ribosomal RNA (253 nucleotides) under uncultured bacterium. RNAcentral's name for it is "partial 16S ribosomal RNA". It matches the Rfam family "Bacterial small subunit ribosomal RNA", at positions 524 to 776 of the family's 1533-position model. The record is from RNAcentral.
UACGUAGGGUGCGAGCGUUGUCCGGAAUUAUUGGGCGUAAAGAGCUCGUAGGCGGUUUGUUGCGUCUAUCGUGAAAACCUGCAGCUUAACUGUGGGCUUGCGGUGGAUACGGGCAGACUUGAGUUCGGUAGGGGAGACUGGAAUUCCUGGUGUAGCGGUGGAAUGCGCAGAUAUCAGGAGGAACACCGGUGGCGAAGGCGGGUCUCUGGGCAGUAACUGACGCUGAGGAGCGAAAGCGUGGGGAGCGAACAGG